This 154-nucleotide ribosomal RNA is filed under the name Othonna eriocarpa. RNAcentral describes it as "5.8S ribosomal RNA". It matches the Rfam family "5.8S ribosomal RNA". From Rfam's summary of the family: 5.8S ribosomal RNA (5.8S rRNA) is a component of the large subunit of the eukaryotic ribosome. It is transcribed by RNA polymerase I as part of the 45S precursor that also contains 18S and 28S rRNA. The record is from RNAcentral. Lineage: Eukaryota; Viridiplantae; Streptophyta; Magnoliopsida; Asterales; Asteraceae.
CGACUCUCGGCAACGGAUAUCUCGGCUCAUGCAUCGAUGAAGAACGUAGCAAAAUGCGAUACUUGGUGUGAAUUGCAGAAUCCCGUGAACCAUCGAGUUUUUGAACGCAAGUUGCGCCCGRAGCCUUUUGGCCGAGGGCACGUCUGCCUGGGCG